RNAcentral lists this ribosomal RNA (483 nucleotides) under uncultured bacterium. RNAcentral describes it as "partial 16S ribosomal RNA". It matches the Rfam family "Bacterial small subunit ribosomal RNA", at positions 28 to 507 of the family's 1533-position model. The record is from RNAcentral.
GACGAACGCUGGCGGCGUGCUUAACACAUGCAAGUCGAACGCUGAAGCUCAGCUUUUGUUGGGUGGAUGAGUGGCGAACGGGUGAGUAACACGUGAGUAACCUGCCUCCUUCUUUGGGAUAACGCCCGGAAACGGGUGCUAAUACUGGAUAUUCACUGGUCUUCGCAUGGGGGUUGGUGGAAAGGGUUUUUCUGGUGGGGGAUGGGCUCGCGGCCUAUCAGCUUGUUGGUGGGGUGAUGGCCUACCAAGGCUUUGACGGGUAGCCGGCCUGAGAGGGUGACCGGUCACAUUGGGACUGAGAUACGGCCCAGACUCCUACGGGAGGCAGCAGUGGGGAAUAUUGCACAAUGGGCGCAAGCAUGAUGCAGCGACGCCGCGUGAGGGAUGGAGGCCUUCGGGUUGUGAACCUCUUUCGCUCAUGGUCAAGCCGCAACAAUGGUUGUGGUGAGGGUAGUGGGUAAAGAAGCGCCGGCUAACUACGUG